UCCCUCGUGGCGCAAUUGGCUAGCGCGUUAGACUGUUAAUCUAAAGGUUGGUGGUUCGAGCCCACCCGAGGGAG
This 74-nucleotide transfer RNA is filed under the name Ophiostoma novo-ulmi subsp. novo-ulmi H327. RNAcentral's name for it is "tRNA-Asn (GTT) (tRNA-Asn-GTT-2-1)". It matches the Rfam family "tRNA". Rfam says of the family: Transfer RNA (tRNA) molecules are approximately 80 nucleotides in length. RNAcentral also lists the same sequence under 1 other name. Lineage: Eukaryota; Fungi; Ascomycota; Sordariomycetes; Ophiostomatales; Ophiostomataceae. The record is from RNAcentral.